GAGGCGUAACCGAAAAGCCUAAGAUAGAGUAGGAA
Molecule: non-coding RNA, 35 nt
Filed under: unclassified sequences
Description: DUF805b RNA
Rfam family: DUF805b RNA
About the family: Bacteroidetes, Chlorobi (1 example), Proteobacteria. Lineage (Flavobacteria)
Source: RNAcentral